GAUGAACGCUGGCGGCGUGCCUAAUACAUGCAAGUCGAGCGAACAGAUGAGGAGCUUGCUCCUCUGACGUUAGCGGCGGACGGGUGAGUAACACGUGGAUAACCUACCUAUAAGACUGGGAUAACUUCGGGAAACCGGAGCUAAUACCGGAUAAUAUAUUGAACCGCAUGGUUCAAUAGUGAAAGACGGUUUUGCUGUCACUUAUAGAUGGAUCCGCGCCGCAUUAGCUAGUUGGUAAGGUAACGGCGUACCAAGGCGACGAUGCGUAGCCGACCUGAGAGGGUGAUCGGCCACACGGGAACUGAGACACGGUCCAGACUCCUACGGGAGGCAGCAGUAGGGAAUCUUCCGCAAUGGGCGAAAGCUUGACGGAGCAACGCCGCGUGAGUGAUGAAGGUCUUCGGAUCGUAAAACUCUGUUAUUAGGGAAGAACAAAUGUGUAAGUAACUAUGCACGUCUUGACGGUACCUAAUCAGAAAGCCACGGCUAACUACGUG
RNAcentral lists this ribosomal RNA (497 nucleotides) under uncultured bacterium. Its description in RNAcentral is "partial 16S ribosomal RNA". It matches the Rfam family "Bacterial small subunit ribosomal RNA", at positions 28 to 507 of the family's 1533-position model. The record is from RNAcentral.